AACGAACGCUGGCGGCGUGCCUAACACAUGCAAGUCGAACGAGAAAGGGGCUUCGGCUCCGAGUAAAGUGGCGCACGGGUGAGUAACACGUGGGUAACCUGCCUCUAAGAUUGGGAUAACUCGUCGAAAGAUGAGCUAAUACCGAAUAAGACCACAGUUCCCGCGGGAACAGGGGUCAAAGGUAGCCUCUGCUUGCAAGCUAUCACUUAGAGAUGGGCCUGCGCACCAUUAGCUAGUUGGUAGGGUAACGGCCUACCAAGGCAAAGAUGGUUAGCUGGUCUGAGAGGAUGAUCAGCCGCACUGGAACUGAGACACGGUCCAGACUCCUACGGGAGGCAGCAGUGGGGAAUAUUGCGCAAUGGGCGAAAGCUUGACGCAGCAACGCCGCGUGAGUGAUGAAGGCCUUCGGGUCGCAAAGCUCUGUCGGGAGGAACGAAUGCUCCUGAGGUUAACAGCCUCGGGAGGUGACGGUACCUUCAAAGGAAGCACCGGCUAACUCUGUG
Molecule: ribosomal RNA, 503 nt
Filed under: uncultured bacterium
Lineage: Bacteria
Description: partial 16S ribosomal RNA
Rfam family: Bacterial small subunit ribosomal RNA
Source: RNAcentral